This is a long non-coding RNA of Siniperca chuatsi (mandarin fish), 1612 nucleotides long. RefSeq lists it as uncharacterized. The record is from RefSeq and is a predicted model, not a curated record. The transcript has 3 exons. Lineage: Eukaryota; Metazoa; Chordata; Actinopteri; Centrarchiformes; Sinipercidae.
CAUUUAAUGGGCUUCGCUAUUGAGGGCUGCGCAUGUGCUUGUAGAACUGGUGUUACAUCCAGGUAAUUUCUAUUUAUGCGAUUUAUGAUUUUUUUUAACUUACUUUUUAUUUAUAGAUACAUUUUCUCUUUUACAUGAGACACCUGGCCUAAAUGUCUGUCCUGUCUGUCUCUGUCCACAGCUCCUUUGUGUGUAACUUUCAAUGUAGGGAUAUCCUCUAACACAUGGUUCAUGGUCUCUCCGAUGAUAGAAACUUCCUAUCGGUGUGUCUUUCUCUGUAUGUGUGUGCGUACUUUUAAUGUGUAGGAGUGAGACUGCUGAGGCGGAGGAAAGUCCUGUAGUUUCAAAGGGCACGGCAGGCAGAGGGGACUGAGCCAGUCGCAGCAGCUGCCCUGGAGAUGUCUCAGAUGAUAAUCAUCCACACUCAUGUUGUUGACUCAGACUUUCAGGGCUUGGCAGGGAGCGUGUGCACGGCAGUCUGAUUACAACAGCCAAUGUGUCAGCGUUGAGACAGGAACGCAUCAUGGAAAGUGUCAGCAACACAUCAUCCACAGCUUUUGUCUGUCUCGCUUCCAGGCGCUGUUCUGGACUACCACAACCACCACAUGACACAACAGAGCACCGAGCGCCAAGCCAUGUGAGGGAGUGAAAGUGGGAUCUGUUUGUCUGCAUCAUUGCUAUGGCAGAACCAAGUAGUCGGGAUGGUGUCCAUAAUGUGCUGUAUUCACCUACUGUAUUGUCCUGAAUUGUUCAGCAUUCAAUAUUACUAAAAUACUGGCUUCAGCUAGUUAAAGUGGUAUGAUUUGCUCAGCCAAGGUCUGUCCUUCAAAAGGAGACCUGCUUUCUGGGCCACUAACAAGCACCAGCUCACUUUUCUGACACACAUUUCUGAUACUAUAACUGUAAUAUUAUUAUAAACAUCUGUUUUGCAACUACAAGCUAUUAUUUGAAUUUGAGCUAUGUUUUAAUAAUUGUGGGGUGUGGCUUACAUGCUUUUGGACUGAAGUGGGAAGUGUGAGACAUGAUUUAUGUAAAAAUUUGAAAGACGAUUUGUGAUGCUUGAUGAAGAGUGGAAAAAUAAUCAGGAGUUUUGGCAACAGCGCAUUUUAUGACUGAAAAUGUGGGCUGUGUGUAUGGGAAUCUUUUUCACUUUAAAGGUUGUACAGUACACAGGUUGUGUUCAAGGUGCAAGAAUAUGCAAAUAAACUGCAGUGGUGUAUUGAUCUGCAAGCAACAGCAAAAGUGAAGCGGGAGAUCUUUCUCUUUGUGUGAUGUGCUGAAACCUGAGACAGCUAAAGGGUGUGUUCACAAGAAAACAUAUUUUCUCACUCACGACCUAAUGUGAUCUGAGGUUUGUUUUGUGUUCCUUAAAGCACUGACAAAAGGGAUGGUAAGGAAAUCUUUUUUGUAAUUUGGGGAAAUGGAUGAAGCUGCUGCUAGGUGGUGUUGCAGAUCUUAUUCUGAGCCUAACCACUUUGUCAGCUACAGCUUGCUUCACACAGAGGAUGGAGGAAGCUCCAGGAAUUCACCUGCUGUGGAGGCACUUUAAAAGUUCAGUCGACUCCCACAGCUCCUGUUAGUGAAGGUGUCUGCCUUCAUCAGCUUUAUCGCA